Molecule: long non-coding RNA, 1284 nt
Organism: Pseudophryne corroboree (corroboree frog)
Lineage: Eukaryota; Metazoa; Chordata; Amphibia; Anura; Myobatrachidae
Exons: 3
Source: RefSeq, a predicted model, not a curated record
AGAUAUGGAAUACGCUCCUGAAAUGCAGAUGUCCAUAUAUGUGGCUGCGGAAGCCCUCCCACCCCAACCGGCUCCUUAUCCUCCAAGGCAACGGAGGCGUGCAAGGCCACCAAUUUACCGUACCCAUGUCACCCUUUUUGGGAUGCCUGAUGAUCUUGUUGGUAUGUCUCAGGGCAAUUUUAGUAAGGUACUGCGACGAGUCCUGGAUGCUUUCCUCACCAGAGUGAAGCAGUUCAUAUCAAUGCCUUUGGAAGCUGGUGCCCUGGCUGUGGUGAAGCGGCAAUUUCAGGAAGGUGGUAGUCGCUUCCCACACGUAAUUGGGGUUGUGGAUGGGACAUAUGUUGCCAUUGUUGCGCCAAAACAUAAUGAAGAAAUAUAUAGAAACAGGAAACUGUUUCAUUCUCUGAAUGUCAUGGUUGUUGUGGCCCAUCCCUCCAGAUCCUGUCCCUGAAUGCUAUGUUCCCCGGCAAUUCCCGUGACUCACAUGUGAUUAGGCAAUCAGGGAUCUGGCAAAGAUUAAGAAUGAUGGAAGGCCAAGACAUGUGGCUAUUGGGAGAUCGUGGAUAUCUUUGCACCCCCUGGCUCAUGACUCCUUACAGCAAACCCAGGCCAGGGCCACAGUCGGCAUUUAAUUCCGCGCUUACUGCCACUAGACAGCUGGUGGAGCGCACGAUUUGGGUUCUUAAAGGGCGGUUUCGUGUGCUCCACCGCACUGGUGGCGACAUCAUGUAUUUGCCGGAAAUGGUAAGUAAAAUCGUGAUCCUGUGCGCUAUCCUACACAAUAUUGCUGUAAGGAGUCGGCUGGAGCUUCCGCAGUCGGAGGAAUUGCUGGAUGAGGUGCCAGGGGUUGGCCGGCCUUCCGUGGUGGUUCUGAAAGUCAGCGGGGUCACGCCGUCAGGGCUAGAAUUGUCCAGGAGUAUUUCAGGUAUGAUUAUGUUAUGAGAGCACUAUAGAUAAAAUGCUGCAUAAAUUUAUUAAUCUGUGUUCACGGUUUACGUGUAGGUUUUGCCUACACAAAAUUGUAAUCGUGGAUUUUUUUGAUAACAUUGUAAAUGUUUCAGUGUUUUUCUUGUUUUUGUGUUCUGAGUAGUUUAAUAAGUGGCUGUGAACAGAUUAUUGAUGUAAUGCUAGCAAUCACAUCUGUAUUGAGAUGUUAUUUUGUACAUCAUUGGGAUUAGUGUCCCAUUUGGCUUGUUUAUAUUCAGUUGUGCAAACUUAUUUCAACCUAUUUUUUUUUUCCUGUUUUUUUUUUUUUUGGUUGAUUAAUUAAAAAAAAAAACUUUU